RNAcentral lists this small nucleolar RNA (139 nucleotides) under Triticum aestivum (bread wheat). RNAcentral's name for it is "Small nucleolar RNA Z247". It matches the Rfam family "Small nucleolar RNA Z247". Rfam says of the family: Z247 is a member of the C/D class of snoRNA which contain the C (UGAUGA) and D (CUGA) box motifs. Most of the members of the box C/D family function in directing site-specific 2'-O-methylation of substrate RNAs. Lineage: Eukaryota; Viridiplantae; Streptophyta; Magnoliopsida; Poales; Poaceae. The record is from Rfam by way of RNAcentral.
CCCAUCGAUGAUGAUGAGCUCAUCUCCUACAUCACCGCCAGCCUCGACAUGGAGUACCAGCCCCUCGUCACCGUCAAUGACUCCAGCACCGACACCAUCAGCCUCGACAAUCUCUACACUCAGAUGAGCAACUUUGAUC